RNAcentral lists this long non-coding RNA (718 nucleotides) under Prunus persica (peach). RNAcentral's name for it is "long non-coding RNA (PPER_LNC000321)". Lineage: Eukaryota; Viridiplantae; Streptophyta; Magnoliopsida; Rosales; Rosaceae. The record is from RNAcentral.
GAAGGCGACAUAAACGACAAUCGUCUCCUCGACAAGCUCUUCGACACCGUGGCAUUUACGCACGUGAUGCAUUUGGCGGCUCAAGCCGGCGUCAGGUACGCCAUGGAGAACCCCCACUCGUACGUCCACAGCAACAUCGCCGGCCUCGUCACGCUUCUCGAGGUCUGCAAAACGGCCAAUCCCCAGCCGUCGAUCGUCUGGGCCUCGUCCAGCUCCGUCUACGGCCUCAACGACAACGUUCCAUUCUCCGAAUCUGACCGCACCGACCAGCCCGCUAGCCUCUACGCCGCCACAAAGAAAGCCGGCGAGGAAAUUACCCACACUUACAACCAUAUUUACGGCCUGUCAGUUACCGGGUUGAGAUUUUUUACCGUUUACGGGCCGUGGGGCCGACCCGACAUGGCGUAUUUCUCUUUUACCCGCAACAUCCUCCAAGGCAAGCCCAUCACUAUUUACAGGGGCAAGAACCGGGUCGACUUGGCCCGCGAUUUCACGUACAUUGACGAUAUUGUGAAGGGUUGUUUGGGGUCUUUGGAUACGUCCGGGAAGAGCACCGGGUCGGGCGGAAAGAAACGGGGCCCCGCACCAUACCGAAUCUUUAAUCUGGGGAACACAUCACCGGUGACCGUGCCGACACUUGUCAGCAUCCUGGAGCGGCAUUUGAAGAUGAAGGCGAAGAAGAAUUUCGUGGAUAUGCCUGGAAACGGCGACGUUCCGU